RNAcentral lists this transfer RNA (81 nucleotides) under Paragonimus heterotremus. It matches the Rfam family "tRNA". From Rfam's summary of the family: Transfer RNA (tRNA) molecules are approximately 80 nucleotides in length. Their secondary structure includes four short double-helical elements and three loops (D, anti-codon, and T loops). The record is from Rfam by way of RNAcentral. Lineage: Eukaryota; Metazoa; Platyhelminthes; Trematoda; Plagiorchiida; Troglotrematidae.
GGCUUCGUAGUUCAGCUGGUAGAGUGCUUGCCGCGUUGAGGCAUGGUGUUUCUGUUGUUGAUUCAAAUCCAGCCGAAGCCC